This 75-nucleotide transfer RNA is filed under the name Thalassococcus sp. S3. RNAcentral describes it as "tRNA-Lys". It matches the Rfam family "tRNA". Rfam says of the family: Transfer RNA (tRNA) molecules are approximately 80 nucleotides in length. Lineage: Bacteria; Pseudomonadati; Pseudomonadota; Alphaproteobacteria; Rhodobacterales; Roseobacteraceae. The record is from RNAcentral.
GCGCCCGUAGCUCAGUGGCAGAGCAGCCGCCUUUUAAGCGGCGUGUCGUGGGUUCGAUCCCCACCGGGCACACCA